AUUUAUAUAAUAUAAAUAUUAUAUUUGACUUCCAAUCAAAAAAUUUAAACAAAAAUUUAAUAUAAAUA
RNAcentral lists this transfer RNA (68 nucleotides) under Curculionoidea sp. 11 KM-2017. RNAcentral describes it as "tRNA-Gly". The record is from RNAcentral. Lineage: Eukaryota; Metazoa; Arthropoda; Insecta; Coleoptera.